RNAcentral lists this ribosomal RNA (483 nucleotides) under uncultured Sphingobacteriales bacterium. RNAcentral's name for it is "bacterial SSU rRNA". It matches the Rfam family "Bacterial small subunit ribosomal RNA", at positions 900 to 1382 of the family's 1533-position model. The record is from RNAcentral. Lineage: Bacteria; Pseudomonadati; Bacteroidota; Sphingobacteriia; Sphingobacteriales.
CUCAAAGGAAUUGACGGGGGCCCGCACAAGCGGUGGAGCAUGUGGUUUAAUUCGAAGCAACGCGAAGAACCUUACCAGGCCUUGACAUGCAGAGAACUUUCCAGAGAUGGAUUGGUGCCUUCGGGAACUCUGACACAGGUGCUGCAUGGUUGUCGUCAGCUCGUGCCGUGAGGUGUCGGGUUAAGUCCCAUAACGAGCGCAACCCCUAUCAUUAGUUGCCAUCAGGUCAAGCUGGGGACUCUAAUGAAACUGCCUACGCAAGUAGUGAGGAAGGUGGGGAUGACGUCAAAUCAGCACGGCCCUUACGUCCAGGGCUACACACGUGCUACAAUGGCCGAUACAGAGGGCAGCUACCUGGCGACAGGAUGCAAAUCUCCAAAGUCGGUCUCAGUUCGGAUCGGAGUCUGCAACCCGACUCCGUGAAGUUGGAUUCGCUAGUAAUCGCGCAUCAGCCAUGGCGCGGUGAAUACGUUCCCGGGCCUU